UCUCUACUUUCUCUCUCUAAAUUUCUAUGGUUUCUUGCAUGUUUUCACAAUGUAGAAAGGGAAAAAAGCAUAUUAGUCUAUAGACAAGUUGAGAACAAGCAACAAAGUAAUAAGUGAAUAAAACAACUACGUCAGCUCAUUUUUUAAAUGACCAAUAAAUCAUUUACCUAACAAUGAAGAAAAUCAAACAAAAUAGCCAAAGUAAGCAAUUUACAAUAGAAAAAGUAAAAUCACUAGCAAACACCCUUAAUUCCCGUAUUUAAACAAAAUAGAGAAGUAAAAUCACUAAUCAGGCACGGAAUGUACUUCAAGCUGUAAUCAAGAUUGUCUAAUAAUUCCAUGGAAAUUAAUCAAAUAACAAGAGAACUCUGAAAUUGAACCUAGAGCUCCAGUAGGGAAAAGGGAAAUGAGUGCACUUACUUCUUGAACAUUUUCACGGGCUGACGCUGAGAGAAGAAUAAUAUGUAGGGUUUAAGCUGAUGAACAGAGUGAAAUUUUGGAAUUGAGAUCUCAAUUUUAAAAUAGAACAUAUGCUAGCCCUUAUAUUUAUUGAUGAUAGCCAAAGAUGACGUUUUUUUAGUGGAUCCACCGGCUAAGCCCCGUGGACCGCGUUGUAAGAAAGCUAAGGUAUCUGAGUUCCACUUUGAUGAUUUUAAUGUUCUAUGUUAACAUGUCCGUAUAAAGUGGAUUUAGUGACAUUUGCGGCUAAAAGAAAAAGUAAGUAUUUGAGGCUAAAAUGUAAAACACAAAAAAGUACGUGGAUCGUUAUUGUGAAUUACGUGAGGAAAGCUGCUAGAGAGGUAUUCGGGGAUUCAAAGGGCUCGUCUGGUGGCCGCAUAGGGGAUUGAUGGUGGAGUACUG
This 861-nucleotide long non-coding RNA is filed under the name Nicotiana benthamiana. Its description in RNAcentral is "long non-coding RNA (NBEN_LNC039104)". Lineage: Eukaryota; Viridiplantae; Streptophyta; Magnoliopsida; Solanales; Solanaceae. The record is from RNAcentral.